AUUGAACGCUGGCGGCAGGCCUAACACAUGCAAGUCGAGCGAGCGGCGGACGGGUGAGUAAUGUAUGGGGACUGCCCGAUAGAGGGGGAUAACUAAUGGAAACGGUGGCUAAUACCGCAUACUAUCGGAUAACCCAUAUUGGAUGAGCUAGUAGGUGGGGAAAGGGCGCACCGAGGCGACGAUGUCUAGCUGGUCUGAGAGGAUGAUCACCCACACUGGGACUGAGACACGUCCCAGAUCCCUACGGAGGCAGCAGAGGGGAAUAUUGCACAAUGGGCGAAAGCCUGAGGCAGCCAUGCCGCGUGUAUGAAGAAGGCCUUAGGGUUGUAAAGUACUUUCGGCGGGGAGGCGUUACCCGCAGAAGAAGCACCGGCUAACUCCGUGCCAGCAGCCGCGAUAAUAC
Molecule: ribosomal RNA, 403 nt
Filed under: uncultured bacterium
Lineage: Bacteria
Description: partial 16S ribosomal RNA
Rfam family: Bacterial small subunit ribosomal RNA
Source: RNAcentral